RNAcentral lists this ribosomal RNA (283 nucleotides) under uncultured bacterium. RNAcentral describes it as "partial 16S ribosomal RNA". It matches the Rfam family "Bacterial small subunit ribosomal RNA", at positions 30 to 312 of the family's 1533-position model. The record is from RNAcentral.
AUUGAACGCUGGCGGCAUGCCUUACACAUGCAAGUCGAACGGCAGCACGGGAGCAAUCCUGGUGGCGAGUGGCGAACGGGUGAGUAAUAUAUCGGAACGUGCCCAGUCGUGGGGGGAUAACGUAGCGAAAGCUACGCUAAUACCGCAUACGAUCUAUGGAUGAAAGCGGGGGAUCGCAAGACCUCGCGCGAUUGGAGCGGCCGAUAUCAGAUUAGGUAGUUGGUGGGGUAAAGGCCUACCAAGCCUUCGAUCUGUAGCUGGUCUGAGAGGACGACCAGCCACA